Molecule: antisense RNA, 69 nt
Filed under: Streptosporangium subroseum
Lineage: Bacteria; Bacillati; Actinomycetota; Actinomycetes; Streptosporangiales; Streptosporangiaceae
Description: ASpks TB sRNA
Rfam family: ASpks TB sRNA
Source: Rfam by way of RNAcentral
CUUCACCGAGCCAAGCCACAACGGCGCUUCCCGAUCCUGGCCAUAGGUCGCCAGCAACGCCUGCGCCUC